This 301-nucleotide ribosomal RNA is filed under the name uncultured bacterium. RNAcentral describes it as "partial 16S ribosomal RNA". It matches the Rfam family "Bacterial small subunit ribosomal RNA", at positions 509 to 807 of the family's 1533-position model. The record is from RNAcentral.
CAGUAGCCGCGGUAAUACGUAGGGCGCAAGCGUUGUCCGGAAUUAUUGGGCGUAAAGGGCUCGUAGGCGGUUUGUCGCGUCUGCUGUGAAAACUCGAGGCUCAACCUCGGGCUUGCAGUGGGUACGGGCAGACUAGAGUGCGGUAGGGGAGACUGGAAUUCCUGGUGUAGCGGUGGAAUGCGCAGAUAUCAGGAGGAACACCGAUGACGAAGGCAGGUCUCUGGGCCGCAACUGACGCUGAGGAGCGAAAGCAUGGGGAGCGAACAGGAUUAGAUACCCCAGUAGUCCCUGUCUCUUAUAC